GGGGAGAUAGCUCAGUCGGUUAGAGCACCAGUUUGUCACACUGAAGGUCGCGGGUUCAAUUCCCGUUCUUCCC
This 73-nucleotide transfer RNA is filed under the name Marophrys sp. SRT127. RNAcentral describes it as "tRNA-Asp". It matches the Rfam family "tRNA". Rfam says of the family: Transfer RNA (tRNA) molecules are approximately 80 nucleotides in length. Their secondary structure includes four short double-helical elements and three loops (D, anti-codon, and T loops). The record is from RNAcentral. Lineage: Eukaryota; Centroplasthelida; Acanthocystida.